This 336-nucleotide unclassified non-coding RNA is filed under the name soil metagenome. Its description in RNAcentral is "partial contains 5.8S ribosomal RNA, internal transcribed spacer 2, and large subunit ribosomal RNA". The stretch from base 1 to 120 matches the Rfam family "5.8S ribosomal RNA", at positions 35 to 154 of the family's 154-position model. The record is from RNAcentral.
GAUGAAGAACGUAGCGAAAUGCGAUAAGUAAUGUGAAUUGCAGAAUUCAGUGAAUCAUCGAAUCUUUGAACGCACAUUGCGCCCCUUGGUAUUCCGGGGGGCAUGCCUGUUCGAGCGUCAUUUCAAUCCUCAAGCUCUGCUUGGUAUUGGGCUCCGUCCUCCUCGGACGCGCCUCAAAGACCUCGGCGGUGGCGUCUUGCCUCAAGCGUAGUAGAAACACCUCGCUUUGGAGUGCAUGGCGUCGCCCGCCGGACGAAACCUUUUGUAUUUUCUCAAGGUUGACCUCGGAUCAGGUAGGGAUACCCGCUGAACUUAAGCAUAUCAAUAAGCGGAGGA